This 70-nucleotide transfer RNA is filed under the name Tegula lividomaculata. RNAcentral's name for it is "tRNA-Met". Lineage: Eukaryota; Metazoa; Mollusca; Gastropoda; Trochida; Tegulidae. The record is from RNAcentral.
AGCAGAGUAAGCUAAGAUAGAAAGCUGUCGGGUUCAUACCCCGAAUAUGAAACGGAUGUAUCCUCUGUUA